This 253-nucleotide ribosomal RNA is filed under the name uncultured bacterium. RNAcentral describes it as "partial 16S ribosomal RNA". It matches the Rfam family "Bacterial small subunit ribosomal RNA", at positions 524 to 776 of the family's 1533-position model. The record is from RNAcentral.
UACAGAGGGGGCAAGCGUUGUUCGGAAUUACUGGGCGUAAAGGGCGCGUAGGUGGCCUUCUAAGUUGAACGUGAAAUCCCUGGGCUCAACCCAGGAACUGCGUCCAAGACUGGGAGGCUUGAAUCCGGGAGAGGGAAGCGGAAUUUCUGGUGUAGCAGUGAAAUGCGUAGAUAUCAGAAGGAACAUCAGUGGCGAAGGCGGCUUCCUGGACCAAUACUGACGAUCAGGUGCGAAAGCGUGGGGAGCAAACAGG